UCAUCACAUGGGGUAAUUUUUACCCGUUCCUCCCUUUGGAGGACAGAUCAGAACAUGACGGUGGCAGUUUGCAUGAUUCAUGAUUAACAUCUCUGAGUAACCUUGACUUACAGUACCGUCAUGCACAUAUUCUCUUCUCACUGAA
Molecule: small nucleolar RNA, 145 nt
Filed under: Carlito syrichta (Philippine tarsier)
Lineage: Eukaryota; Metazoa; Chordata; Mammalia; Primates; Tarsiidae
Description: U8 small nucleolar RNA (ENSTSYG00000020288.2)
Rfam family: U8 small nucleolar RNA
About the family: U8 is a member of the C/D class of snoRNA which contain the C (UGAUGA) and D (CUGA) box motifs. U8 is the RNA component of a small complex (the U8 snoRNP) which is required for accumulation of mature large subunit ribosomal RNAs, 5.8S and 28S rRNAs. U8 RNA has been identified in human, mouse, rat and Xenopus.
Source: Rfam by way of RNAcentral